Molecule: ribosomal RNA, 253 nt
Filed under: uncultured bacterium
Lineage: Bacteria
Description: partial 16S ribosomal RNA
Rfam family: Bacterial small subunit ribosomal RNA
Source: RNAcentral
UACGUAGGGCGCGAGCGUUAAUCGGAAUUACUGGGCGUAAAGCGUGCGCAGGCGGUUUUGUAAGCCAGAUGUGAAAUCCCCGGGCUUAACCUGGGAAUGGCAUUUGGGACUGCAAGGCUUGAGUGCGGCAGAGGAGACUGGAAUUCCUGGUGUAGCAGUGAAAUGCGUAGAUAUCAGGAGGAAUACCGAUGGCGAAGGCAGGUCUCUGGGCUGACACUGACGCUCAUGCACGAAAGCGUGGGGAGCAAACAGG